CAAGCUCAAAUUUCCUGUGGUUACUUCUUGUGUGCUCCUAAGUAAAAGAAAAAUAUCAAAAAAAAAUAAAAAGAAUUGCAGGUUUCGAACCGUGUUGUUCGCAAGCUGGAUUGAUUUGUGUCUUUUUUCCACCAAAUCGAUAGUUGCCAGAAACUUUCGGAAGAUCGGGCCACACUUAUUCUCCUCAAGUGGUAAUCAAAGCUUCAGACAUAACGUUAGGUUCACAUCUACCCUUAGUUUCGAGUGUCCUUGUGUUCGUCCCAUAAGUCUGGUGCCAUAUUGUUUUCAUGUCCUACAACCCGUCCGCGCCAUAGCCUUUGCAUAUUUCAGUUUCCGAGUUCAUAGUGUUGAGUUUGUGUCCUGGUCGAGAUCUUGUUACUGGUUAGGUCUUGUUAGAGUCCAAUUUGUGUGUUUCUUCCCACCGUUUCCAUCAAUUUAUAGCCACCGCCGCAAAUUUUCCCACUUCUGGACUGUUUUGUUCUCUAAUUCGGAGUCCGUUCGUAAAACAGCCAUAACUUUCGCAUACGAACUCCGAUUUUGACGUUGCAUAUAUCAAAAUCGAUCAGAAAUUUUUUUUGGGUCUGUCUAUGCCCGCUUUGCGGGUUCGACAAAUUUAGAAUCCCCAAAUUCGCCUCUGAUGUUGGAGUUUUCACCUCCUAAUGUUUUCUUUAUAUUUUUCGCAAUCUUCAAAACUUUCCACAGGCCACGUCUUUCACUUGUUCAAGCUCAAAUUUCCUGUGGUUACUUCUUGUGUGCUCCUAAGUAAAAGAAAAAUAUCAAAGAAAAAUAAAAAGAACUGCAGGUUUCGAACCGUGUUGUUCGCAAGGUGGAUUGAUUUGUGACUCUUUUCCACCAAAUCGAUAGUUGCCAGAAACUUUCGGAAGAUCGGGCCACACUUAUUCUCCUCAAGUGGUAAUCAAAGCUUUAGACAUAACGUUAGGUUCACAUCUACCCUUAGUUUCGAGUGUCCUUGUGUUCGUCCCAUAAGUCUGGUGCCAUAUUGUUUUCAUGUCCUACAACCCAUCCGCGCCAUAGCCUUUGCAUAUUUCAGUUUCAGAGUCCGUAGUGUUGAGUUUGUGUCCUGGUCGAGGUCUUGUUACUGGUUAGGUCUUGUUAGAGUCCAAUUUGUGUGUUUCUUCCCACCGUUUCCAUCAAUUUAUAGCCACCGCCGCAAAUUUUCCCACUUCUGGACUGUUUUGUCCUCUAAUUCGGAGUCCGUUCGUAAAACAGCCAUAACUUUCGCAUACGAACUCCGAUUUUGACGUUCCAUAUAUCAAAAUCGAUCAGAAAAUUUUUUUUGGGUCUGUCUAUGCCCGCCAUAGGCAGGUUCGACAAAUUAGGAUCCCCAAAUUCGCCUCUGAAGUUUGAGUUUUCACCUCCUAAAGUUUUCUUUAUAUUUUUCGCAAUCUUCAAAACUUUCCACAGGCCACGUCUUUCACUUGUUCAAGCUCAAAUUUCCUGUGGUUACUUCUUGAGUGCUCCUAAGUAAAAGAAAAAUAUCAAAAAAAAAAUAAAAAGAAUUGCAGGUUUGGAACCGUGUUGUUCGCAAGCUGGAUUGAUUUGUCUCUUUUCCACCAAAUCGAUAGUUGCCAGAAACUUUCGGAAGAUCGGGCCACACUUAUUCUCCUCAAGUGGUAAUCAAAGCUUCAGACAUAACGUCAGGUUCACAUCUACCCUUAGUUUCGAGUGUCCUUGUGUUCGUCCCAUAAGUCUGGUGCCAUAUUAUUUUCAUGUCCUACAACCCAUCCGCGCCAUAGCCUUUGCAUAUUUCUGUUUCCGAGUCCAUAGUGUUGAGUUUGUGUCCUGGUCGAGGUCUUGUUACUGGUUAGGUCUUGUUAGAGUCCAAUUUGUGUGUUUCUUCCCACCGUUUCCAUCAAUUUAUAGCCACCGCCGCAAAUUUUCCCACUUCUGGACUGUUUUGUCCUCUAAUUCGGAGUCCGUUCUUAAAACAGCCAUAACUUUCGCAUACGAACUCCGAUUUUGGCGUUCUAUAUAUCAAAAUCGAUCAGAAAAUUUUUCUGGGUCUGUCUAUGCCCGCUAGCGGGUUCGACAAAUUUAGAAUCCCCAAAUUCGCCUCUGAAGUUUGAGUUUUCACCUCCUAAAGUUUUCUUUAUAUUUUUCGCAAUCUUCAAAACUUUCCACAGGCCACGUCUUUCACUUGUUCAAGCUCAAAUUUCCUGUGGUUACUUCUUGUGUGCUCCUAAGUAAAAGAAAAAUAUCAAAGAAAAAUAAAAAGAACUGCAGGUUUCGAACCGUGUUGUUCGCAAGCUGGAUUGAUUUGUGUCUCUUUUCCACCAAAUCGAUAGUUGCCAGAAACUUUCGGAAGAUCGGGCCACACUUAUUCUGCUCAAGUGGUAAUCAAAGCUUUAGACAUAACGUUAGGUUCACAUCUACCCUUAGUUUCGAGUGUCCUUGUGUUCAUCCCAUAAGUCUGGUGCCAUAUUGUUUUCAUGUCCUACAACCCAUCCGCGCCAUAGCCUUUGCAUAUUUCAGUUUCCGAGUUCAUAGUGUUGAGUUUGUGUCCUGGUCGAGAUCUUGUUACUGGUUAGGUCUUGUUAGAGUCCAAUUUGUGUGUUUCUUCCCACCGUUUCCAUCAAUUUAUAGCCACCGCCACAAAUUUUCCCACUUCUGGACUGUUUUGUCCUCUAAUUCGGAGUCCGUUCGUAAAACAGCCAUAACUUUCGCAUACGAACUCCGAUUUUGACGUUGCAUAUAUCAAAAUCGAUCAAAAAUUUUUUUUGGGUCUGUCUAUGCCCGCUUUGCGGGUUCGACAAAUUUAGAAUCCCCAAAUUCGCCUCUGAAGUUGGAGUUUUCACCUCCUAAAGUUUUCUUUAUAUUUUUCGCAAUCUUCAAAACUUUCCACAGGCCACGUCUUUCACUUGUUCAAGCUCAAAUUUCCUGUGGUUACUUCUUGUGUGCUCCUAAGUAAAAGAAAAAUAUCAAAGAAAAAUAAAAAGAACUGCAGGUUUCGAACCGUGUUGUUCGCAAGGUGGAUUGAUUUGUGUCUCUUUUCCACCAAAUCGAUAGUUGCCAGAAACUUUCGGAAGAUCGGGCCACACUUUUUCUCCUCAAGUGGUAAUCAAAGCUUCAGACAUAACGUUAGGUUCACAUCUACCCUUAGUUUCGAGUGUCCUUGUGUUCGUCCCAUAAGUCUGGUGCCAUAUUGUUUUCAUGUCCUACAACCCAUCCGCGCCAUAGCCUUUGCAUAUUUCAGUUUCAGAGUCCGUAGUGUUGAGUUUGUGUCCUGGUCGAGGUCUUGUUACUGGUUAGGUCUUGUUAGAGUCCAAUUUGUGUGUUUCUUCCCACCGUUUCCAUCAAUUUAUAGCCACCGCCGCAAAUUUUCCCACUUCUGGACUGUUUUGUCCUCUAAUUCGGAGUCCGUUCGUAAAACAGCCAUAACUUUCGCAUACGAACUCCGAUUUUGACGUUCCAUAUAUCAAAAUCGAUCAGAAAUUUUUUUUUGGGUCUGUCUAUGCCCGCCACUGGCGGGUUCGACAAAUUAGGAUCCCCAAAUUCGCCUCUGAGGUUUGAGUUUUCACCUCCUAAAGUUUUCUUUAUAUUUUUCGCAAUCUUCAAAACUUUCCACAGGCCACGUCUUUCACUUGUUCAAGCUCAAAUUUCCUGUGGUUACUUCUUGAGUGCUCCCAAGUUAAAGAAAAAUAUCACAAAAAAUAAAAAGAAUUGCAGGUUUCGAACCGUGUUGUUCGCAAGCUUGAUUGAUUUUUGUCUUUUUUCCACCAAAUCAAUAGUUGCCAGAAACUUUCGGAAGAUCGGGCCACACUUAUUCUCCUCAAGUGGUAAUCAAAGCUUCAGACAUAACGUUAGGUUCACAUCUACCCUUAGUUUCGAGUGUCCUUGUGUUCGUCCCAUAAGUCUGGUGCCAUAUUGUUUUCAUGUCCUACAACCCAUCCGCGCCAUAGCCUUUGCAUAUUUCAGUUUCCGAGUUCAUAGUGUUGAGUUUGUGUCCUGGUCGAGAUCUUGUUACUGGUUAGGUCUUGUUAGAGUCCAAUUUGUGUGUUUCUUCCCACCGUUUCCAUCAAUUUAUAGCCACCGCCGCAAAUUUUCCCACUUCUGGACUGUUUUGUCCUCUAAUUCGGAGUCCGUUCGUAAAACAGCCAUAACUUUCGCAUACGAACUCCGAUUUUGACGUUGCAUAUAUCAAAAUCGAUCAGAAAUUUUUUUUGGGUCUGUCUAUGCCCGCUUUGCGGGUUCGACAAAUUUAGAAUCCCCAAAUUCGCCUCUGAAGUUGGAGUUUUCACCUCCUACAGUUUUCUUUAUAUUUUUCGCAAUCUUCAAAACUUUGCACAGGCCACGUCUUUCACUUGUUCAAGCUCAAAUUUCCUGUGGUUACUUCUUGUGUGCUCCUAAGUAAAAGAAAAAUAUCAAAGAAAAAUAAAAAGAACUGCAGGUUUCGAACUGUGUUGUUCGCAAGCUGGAUUGAUUUGUGUCUCUUUUCCACCAAAUCGAUAGUUGCCAGAAACUUUCGGAAGAUCGGGCCACACUUAUUCUCCUCAAGUGGUAAUCAAAGCUUCAGACAUAACGUUAGGUUAACAUCUACCCUUAGUUUCGAGUGUCCUUGUGUUCGUUCCAUAAGUCUGGUGCUAUAUUGUUUUCAUGUCCUACAACCCAUCCGCGCCAUAGCCUUUGCAUAUUUCAGUUUCAGAGUCCGUAGUGUUGAGUUUGCGUCCUGGUCGAGGUCUUGUUACUGGUUAGGUCUUGUUAGAGUCCAAUUUGUGUGUUUCUUCCCACCGUUUCCAUCAAUUUAUAGCCACCGCCGCAAAUUUUCCCACUUGUGGACUAUUUUGUCCUCUAAUUCGGAGUCCGUUCGUAAAACAGCCAUAACUUUCGCAUACGAACUCCGAUUUUGACGUUCCAUAUAUCAAAAUCGAUCAGAAAAUUUUUUUGGGUCUGUCUAUGCCCGCCAUAGGCGGGUUCGACAAAUUAGGAUCCCCAAAUUCGCCUCUGAAGUUUGAGUUUUCACCUCCUAAAGUUUUCUUUAUAUUUUUCGCAAUCUUCAAAACUUUCCACAGGCCACGUCUUUCACUUGUUCAAGCUCAAAUUUCCUGUGGUUACUUCUUGAGUGCUCCCAAGUUAAAGAAAAAUAUCAAAAAAAAUAAAAAGAAUUGCAGGUUUCGAACCGUGUUGUUCGUAAGCUGGAUUGAUUUGUGUCUUUUUUCCACCAAAUCGAUAGUUGCCAGAAACUUUCGGAAGAUCGGGCCACACUUAUUCUCCUCAAGUGGUAAUCAAAGCUUCAGACAUAACGUUAGGUUCACAUCUACCCUUAGUUUCGAGUGUCCUUGUGUUCGUCCCAUAAGUCUGGUGCCAUAUUGUUUUCAUGUCCUACAACCCAUCCGCGCCAUAGCCUUUGCAUAUUUCAGUUUCCGAGUUCAUAGUGUUGAGUUUGUGUCCUGGUCGAGAUCUUGUUACUGGUUAGGUCUUGUUAGAGUCCAAUUUGUGUGUUUCUUCCCACCGUUUCCAUCAAUUUAUAGCCACCGCCGCAAGUUUUCCCACUUCUGGACUGUUUUGUUCUCUAAUUCGGAGUCCGUUCAUAAAACAGCCAUAACUUUCGCAUACGAACUCCGAUUUUGACGUUGCAUAUAUCAAAAUCGAUCAAAAAUUUUUUUUGGGUCUGUCUAUGCCCGCUUUGCGGGUUCGACAAAUUAGGAUCCCCAAAUUCGCCUCUGAAGUUUGAGUUUUCACCUCCUAAAGUUUUCUUUAUAUUUUUCGCAAUCUUCAAAACUUUCCACAGGCCACGUCUUUCACUUGUUCAAGCUCAAAUUUCCUGUGGUUACUUCUUGUGUGCUCCUAAGUAAAAGAAAAAUAUCAAAGAAAAAUAAAAAGAACUGCAGGUUUCAAACCGUGUUGUUCGCAAGGUGGAUUGAUUUGUGUCUCUUUUCCACCAAAUCGAUAGUUGCCAGAAACUUUCGGAAGAUCGGGCCACACUUAUUCUCCUCAAGUGGUAAUCAAAGCUUCAGACAUAACGUUAGGUUCACAUCUACCCUUAGUUUCGAGUGUCCUUGUGUUCGUCCCAUAAGUCUGGUGCCAUAUUGUUUUCAUGUCCUACAACCCAUCCGCGCCAUAGCCUUUGCAUAUUUCAGUUUCAGAGUCCGUAGUGUUGAGUUUGUGUCCUGGUCGAGGUCUUGUUACUGGUUAGGUCUUGUUAGAGUCCAAUUUGUGUGUUUCUUCCCACCGUUUCCAUCAAUUUAUAGCCACCGCCGCAAAUUUUCCCACUUCUGGACUGUUUUGUCCUCUAAUUCGGAGUCCGUUCGUAAAACAGCCAUAACUUUCGCAUACGAACUCCGAUUUUGACGUUCCAUAUAUCAAAAUCGAUCAGAAAAUUUUUUUUGGGUCUGUCUAUGCCCGCCACAGGCGGGUUCGACAAAUUAGGAUCCCCAAAUUCGCCUCUGAAGUUUGAGUUUUCACCUCCUAAAGUUUUCUUUAUAUUUUUCGCAAUCUUCAAAACUUUCCACAGGCCACGUCUUUCACUUGUUCAAGCUCAAAUUUCCUGUGGUUACUUCUUGAGUGCUCCCAAGUUAAAGAAAAAUAUCAAAAAAAAUAAAAAGAAUUGCAGGUUUCGAACCGUGUUGUUCGCAAGCUGGAUUGAUUUGUGUCUUUUUUCCACCAAAUCGAUAGUUGCCAGAAACUUUCGGAAGAUCGGGCCACACUUAUUCUCCUCAAGUGGUAAUCAAAGCUUCAGACAUAACGUUAGGUUCACAUCUACCCUUAGUUUCGAGUGUCCUUGUGUUCGUCCCAUAAGUCUGGUGCCAUAUUGUUUUCAUGUCCUACAACCCAUCCGCGCCAUAGCCUUUGCAUAUUUCAGUUUCCGAGUUCAUAGUGUUGAGUUUGUGUCCUGGUCGAGAUCUUGUUACUGGUUAGGUCUUGUUAGAGUCCAAUUUGUGUGUUUCUUCCCACCGUUUCCAUCAAUUUAUAGCCACCGCCGCAAAUUUUCCCACUUCUGGACUGUUUUGUUCUCUAAUUCGGAGUCCGUUCAUAAAACAGCCAUAACUUUCGCAUACGAACUCCGAUUUUGACGUUGCAUAUAUCAAAAUCGAUCAGAAAUUUUUUGGGGUCUGUCUAUGCCCGCUUUGCGGGUUCGACAAAUUUAGAAUCCCCAAAUUCGCCUCUGAAGUUGGAGUUUUCACCUCCUAAUGUUUUCUUUAUAUUUUUCGCAAUCUUCAAAACUUUCCACAGGCCACGUCUUUCACUUGUUCAAGCUCAAAUUUCCUGUGGUUACUUCUUGUGUGCUCCUAAGUAAAAGAAAAAUAUCAAAGAAAAAUAAAAAGAACUGCAGGUUUCAAACCGUGUUGUUCGCAAGGUGGAUUGAUUUGUGUCUCUUUUCCACCAAAUCGAUAGUUGCCAGAAACUUUCGGAAGAUCGGGCCACACUUAUUCUCCUCAAGUGGUAAUCAAAGCUUCAGACAUAACGUUAGGUUCACAUCUACCCUUAGUUUCGAGUGUCCUUGUGUUCGUCCCAUUAAUCUUGGGCCAUAUUGUUUUCAUGUCCUACAACCCAUCCGCGCCAUAGCCUUUGCAUAUUUCAGUUUCAGAGUCCGUAGUGUUGAGUUUGUGUCCUGGUCGAGGUCUUGUUACUGGUUAGGUCUUGUUAGAGUCCAAUUUGUGUGUUUCUUCCCACCGUUUCCAUCAAUUUAUAGCCACCGCCGCAAAUUUUCCCACUUCUGGACUGUUUUGUCCUCUAAUUCGGAGUCCGUUCGUAAAACAGCCAUAACUUUCGCAUACGAACUCCGAUUUUGGCGUUCUAUAUAUCAAAAUCGAUCAGAAAAUUUUUCUGGGUCUGUCUAUGCCUACUAGCGGGUUCGACAAAUUUAGAAUCCCCAAAUUCGCCUCUGAAGUUUGAGUUUUCACCUCCUAAAGUUUUCUUUAUAUUUUUCGCAAUCUUCAAAACUUUCCACAGGCCACGUCUUUCACUUGUUCAAGCUCAAAUUUCCUGUGGUUACUUCUUGUGUGCUCCUAAGUAAAAGAAAAAUAUCAAAGAAAAAUAAAAAGAACUGCAGGUUUCGAACCAUGUUGUUCGCAAGCUGGAUUGAUUUGUGUCUCUUUUCCACCAAAUCGAUAGUUGCCAGAAACUUUCGGAAGAUCGGGCCACACUUAUUCUCCUCAAGUGGUAAUCAAAGCUUCAGACAUAACGUUAGGUUCACAUCUACCCUUAGUUUCGAGUGUCCUUGUGUUCGUCCCAUAAGUCUGGUGCCAUAUUGUUUUCAUGUCCUACAACCCAUCCGCGCCAUAGCCUUUGCAUAUUUCAGUUUCAGAGUCCGUAGUGUUGAGUUUGUGUCCUGGUCGAGGUCUUGUUACUGGUUAGGUCUUGUUAGAGUCCAAUUUGUGUGUUUCUUCCCACCGUUUCCAUCAAUUUAUAGCCACCGCCGCAAAUUUUCCCACUUCUGGACUGUUUUGUCCUCUAAUUCGGAGUCCGUUCGUAAAACAGCCAUAACUUUCGCAUACGAACUCCGAUUUUGACGUUCCAUAUAUCAAAAUCGAUCAAAAAUUUUUUUUUGGGUCUGUCUAUGCCCUCCACAGGCGGGUUCGACAAAUUAGGAUCCCCAAAUUCGCCUCUGAAGUUUGAGUUUUCACCUCCUAAAGUUUUCUUUAUAUUUUUCGCAAUCUUCAAAACUUUCCACAGGACACGUCUUUCACUUGUUCAAGCUCAAAUUUCCUGUGGUUACUUCUUGAGUGCUCCCAAGUUAAAGAAAAAUAUCAAAAAAAAUAAAAAGAAUUGCAGGUUUCGAACCGUGUUGUUCGCAACGCUGGAUUGAUUUGUGUCUUUUUCCACCAAAUCGAUAGAUGCCACAAACUGUCGGAAGAUCGGCCCACACUUAUUCUCCUCAAAUGGUAAUCAGAUCGGGCCACACUUAUUCUCCUCAAGUGGUAAUCAAAGCUUCAGACAUAACGUUAGGUUCACAUCUACCCUUAGUUUCGAGUGUCCUUGUGUUCGUCCCAUAAGUCUGGUGCCAUAUUGUUUUCAUGUCCUACAACCCAUCCGCGCCAUAGCCUUUGCAUAUUUCAGUUUCCGAGUCCGUAGUGUUGAGUUUGUGUCCUGGUCGAGGUCUUGUUACUGGUUAGGUCUUGUUAGAGUCCAAUUUGUGUGUUUCUUCCCACCGUUUCCAUCAAUUUAUAGCCACCGCCGCAAAUUUUCCCACUUCAGGACUGUUUUGUCCUCUAAUUCGGAGUCCGUUCGUAAAACAGCCAUAACUUUCGCAUACGUUCCAUAUAUCAAAAUCGAUCAGAAAAUUUUUUUUGGGUCUGUCUAUGCCCGCCACGGGCGGGUUCGACAAAUUAGGAUCCCCAAAUUCGCCUCUGAAGUUUGAGUUUUCAUCUCCUAAAGUUUUCUUUAUAUUUUUCGCAAUCUUCAAAACUUUCCACAGGCCACGUCUUUCACUUGUUCAAGCUCAAAUUUCGUGUGGUUACUUCUUGAGUGCUCCUAAGUAAAAGAAAAAUAUCAAAGAAAAAAUAAAAUAAUUGCAGGUUUCGAACCGUGUUGUUCGCAAACUGGAUUGAUUUGUGUCUCUUUUCCACCAAAUCGAUAGUUGCCAGAAACUUUCGGAAGAUCGGGCCACACUUAUUCUCCUCAAGUGGUAAUCAAAGCUUCAGACAUAACGUUAGGUUCACAUCUACCCUUAGUUUCGAGUGUCCUUGUGUUCGUCCCAUAAGUCUGGUGCCAUAUUCUUUUCAUGUCCUACAACCCAUCCGCGCCAUAGCCUUUGCAUAUUUCAGUUUCAGAGUCCGUAGUGUUGAGUUUGUGUCCUGGUCGAGGUCUUGUUACUGGUUAGGUCUUGUUAGAGUCCAAUUUGUGUGUUUCUUCCCACCGUUUCCAUCAAUUUAUAGCCACCGCCGCAAAUUUUCCCACUUCUGGACUGUUUUGUCCUCUAAUUCGGAGUCCGUUCGUAAAACAGCCAUAACUUUCGCAUACGAACUCCGAUUUUGACGUUGCAUAUAUCAAAAUCGAUCAAAAAUUUUUUUUGGGUCUGUCUAUGCCCGCUUUGCGGGUUCGACAAAUUUAGAAUCCCCAAAUUCGCCUCUGAAGUUGGAGUUUUCACCUCCUAAAGUUUUCUUUAUAUUUUUCGCAAUCUUCAAAACUUUCCACAGGCCACGUCUUUCACUUGUUCAAGCUCAAAUUUUCUGUGGUUACUUCUUGUGUGCUCCUAAGUAAAAGAAAAAUAUCAAAGAAAAAUAAAAAGAACUGCAGGUUUCGAACCGUGUUGUUCGCAAGCUGGAUUGAUUUGUGUCUCUUUUCCACUAAAUCGAUAGUUGCCAGAAACUUUCGGAAGAUCGGGCCACACUUAUUCUCCUCAAGUGGUAAUCAAAGCUUCGGACAUAACGUUAGGUUCACAUCUACCCUUAGUUUCGAGUGUCCUUGUGUUCGUCCCAUAAGUCUGGUGCCAUAUUGUUUUCAUGUCCUACAACCCAUCCGCGCCAUAGCCUUUGCAUAUUUCAGUUUCAGAGUCCGUAGUGUUGAGUUUGUGUCCUGGUCGAGGUCUUGUUACUGGUUAGGUCUUGUUAGAGUCCAAUUUGUGUGUUUCUUCCCACCGUUUCCAUCAAUUUAUAGCCACCGCCGCAAAUUUUCCCACUUCUGGACUGUUUUGUCCUCUAAUUCGGAGUCCGUUCGUAAAACAGCCAUAACUUUCGCAUACGAACUCUGAUUUUGACGUUCCAUAUAUCAAAAUCGAUCAAAAAAUUUUUUUUGGGUCUGUCUAUGCCCUCCACAGGCGGGUUCGACAAAUUAGGAUCCCCAAAUUCGCCUCUGAAGUUUGAGUUUUCACCUCCUAAAGUUUUCUUUAUAUUUUUCGCAAUCUUCAAAACUUUCCACAGGCCACGUCUUUCACUUGUUCAAGCUCAAAUUUCCUGUGGAUACUUCUUGAGUGCUCCCAAGUUAAAGAAAAAUAUCAAAAAAAAUAAAAAGAAUUGCAGGUUUCGAACCGUGUUGUUCGCAAGCUGGAUUGAUUUGUGUCUUUUUUCCACCAAAUCGAUAGUUGCCAGAAACUUUCGGAAGAUCGGGCCACACUUAUUCUCCUCAAGUGGUAAUCAAAGCUUCAGACAUAACGUUAGGUUCACAUCUACCCUUAGUUUCGAGUGUCCUUGUGUUCGUCCCAUAAGUCUGGUGCCAUAUUGUUUUCAUGUCCUACAACCCAUCCGCGCCAUAGCCUUUGCAUAUUUCAGUUUCCGAGUUCAUAGUGUUGAGUUUGUGUCCUGGUCGAGAUCUUGUUACUGGUUAGGUCUUGUUAGAGUCCAAUUUGUGUGUUUCUUCCCACCGUUUCCAUCAAUUUAUAGCCACCGCCGCAAAUUUUACCACUUCUGGACUGUUUUGUCCUCUAAUUCGGAGUCCGUUCGUAAAACAGCCAUAACUUUCGCAUACGAACUCCGAUUUUGACGUUGCAUAUAUCAAAAUCGAUCAGAAAAUUUUUUUCGGUCUGUCUAUGCCCGCUUUGCGGGUUCGACAAAUUUAGAAUCCCCAAAUUCGCCUCUGAAGUUGGAGUUUUCACCUCCUAAACUUUUCUUUAUAUUUUUCGCAAUCUUCAAAAGUUUCCACAGGCCACGUCUUUCACUUGUUCAAGCUCAAAUUUCCUCUGGUUACUUCUUGUGUGCUCCUAAGUAAAAGAAAAAUAUCAAAAAAAAAAUAAAAUAAUUGCAGGUUUCGAACCGUGUUGUUCGCAAACUGGAUUGAUUUGUGUCUCUUUUCCACCAAAUCGAUAGUUGCCAGAAACUUUCGGAAGAUCGGGCCACACUUAUUCUCCUCAAGUGGUAAUCAAAGCUUCAGACAUAACGUUAGGUUCACAUCUACCCUUAGUUUCGAGUGUCCUUGUGUUCGUCCCAUAAGUCUGGUGCCAUAUUGUUUUCAUGUCCUACAACCCAUCCGCGCCAUAGCCUUUGCAUAUUUCAGUUUCAGAGUCCGUAGUGUUGAGUUUGUGUCCUGGUUGAGGUCUUGUUACUGGUUAGGUCUUGUUAGAGUCCAAUUUGUGUGUUUCUUCCCACCGUUUCCAUCAAUUUAUAGCCACCGCCGCAAAUUUUCCCACUUCUGGACUGUUUUGUCCUCUAAUUCGGAGUCCGUUCGUAAAACAGCCAUAACUUUCGCAUACGAACUCCGAUUUUGACGUUCCAUAUAUCAAAAUCGAUCAGAAAAUUUUUUUGGGUCUGUCUAUGCCCGCUAGUCGGGUUCGACAAAUUUAGAAUCCCCAAAUUCGCCUCUGAAGUUUGAGUUUUCACCUCCUAAAGUUUUCUUUAUAUUUUUCGCAAUCUUCAAAAGUUUCCACAGGCCACGUCUUUCACUUGUUCAAGCUCAAAUUUCCUGUGGUUACUUCUUGAGUGCUCCUAAGUAAAAGAAAAUUAUCAAAAAAAAAAAUAAAAAGAAUUGCAGGUUUCGAACCGUGUUGUUCGCAAGCUGGAUUGAUUUGUCUCUUUUCCACCAAAUCGAUAGUUGCCAGAAACUUUCGGAAGAUCGGGCCACACUUAUUCUCCUCAAGUGGUAAUCAAAGCUUCAGACAUAACGUUAGGUUCACAUCUACCCUUAGUUUCAAGUGUCCUUGUGUUGGUCCCAUAAGUCUGGUGCCGUAUUAUUUUCAUGUCCUACAACCCAUCCGCGCCAUAGCCUUUGCAUAUUUCAGUUUCCGAGUCCGUAGUGUUGAGUUUGUGUCCUGGUCGAGCUCUUGUUACUGGUUAGGUCUUGUUAGAGUCCAAUUUGUAUGUUUCUUCCCACCGUUUCCAUCAAUUUAUAGCCACCGCCGCAAAUUUUCCCACUUCUGGACUGUUUUGUCCUCUAAUUCGGAGUCCGUUCUUAAAACAGUCAUAACUUUCGCAUACGAACUCCGAUUUUGGCAUUCUAUAUAUCAAAAUCGAUCAGAAAAUUUUUCUGGGUCUGUCUAUGCCUGCUAGCGGGUUCGACAAAUUUAGAAUCCCCAAAUUCGCCUCUGAAGUUUGAGUUUUCACCUCCUAAAGUUUUCUUUAUAUUUUUCGCAAUCUUCAAAACUUUCCACAGGCCACGUCUUUCACUUGUUCAAGCUCAAAUUUCCUGUGGUUACUUCUUGUGUGCUCCUAAGUAAAAGAAAAAUAUCAAAGAAAAAUAAAAAGAACUGCAGGUUUCGAACCAUGUUGUUCGCAAGCUGGAUUGAUUUGUGUCUCUUUUCCACCAAAUCGAUAGUUGCCAGAAACUUUCGGAAGAUCGGGCCACACUUAUUCUCCUCAAGUGGUAAUCAAAGCUUCAGACAUAACGUUAGGUUCACAUCUACCCUUAGUUUCGAGUGUCCUUGUGUUCGUCCCAUAAGUCUGGUGCCAUAUUGUUUUCAUGUCCUACAACCCAUCCGCGCCAUAGCCUUUGCAUAUUUCAGUUUCAGAGUCCGUAGUGUUGAGUUUGUGUCCUGGUCGAGGUCUUGUUACUGGUUAGGUCUUGUUAGAGUCCAAUUUGUGUGUUUCUUCCCACCGUUUCCAUCAAUUUAUAGCCACCGCCGCAAAUUUUCCCACUUCUGGACUGUUUUGUCCUCUAAUUCGGAGUCCGUUCGUAAAACAGCCAUAACUUUCGCAUACGAACUCCGAUUUUGACGUUCCAUAUAUCAAAAUCGAUCAGAAAAUUUUUUUUGGGUCUGUCUAUGCCCGCCAUAGGCGGGUUCGACAAAUUAGGAUCCCCAAAUUCGCCUCUGAAGUUUGAGUUUUCACCUCCUAAAGUUUUCUUUAUAUUUUUCGCAAUCUUCAAAACUUUCCACAGGCCACGUCUUUCACUUGUUCAAGCUCAAAUUUCCUGUGGUUACUUCUUGAGUGCUCCCAAGUUAAAGAAAAAUAUCAAAAAAAAUAAAAAGAAUUGCAGGUUUCGAACCGUGUUGUUCGUAAGCUGGAUUGAUUUGUGUCUUUUUUCCACCAAAUCGAUAGUUGCCAGAAACUUUCGGAAGAUCGGGCCACACUUAUUCUCCUCAAGUGGUAAUCAAAGCUUCAGACAUAACGUUAGGUUCACAUCUACCCUUAGUUUCGAGUGUCCUUGUGUUCGUCCCAUAAGUCUGGUGCCAUAUUGUUUUCAUGUCCUACAACCCAUCCGCGCCAUAGCCUUUGCAUAUUUCAGUUUCCGAGUUCGUAGUGUUGAGUUUGUGUCCUGGUCGAGAUCUUGUUACUGGUUAGGUCUUGUUAGAGUCCAAUUUGUGUGUUUCUUCCCACCGUUUCCAUCAAUUUAUAGCCACCGCCGCAAAUUUUCCCACUUCUGGACUGUUUUGUCCUCUAAUUCGGAGUCCGUUCGUAAAACAGCCAUAACUUUCGCAUACGAACUCCGAUUUUGACGUUGCAUAUAUCAAAAUCGAUCAGAAAAUUUUUUUGGGUCUGUCUAUGCCCGCUUUGCGGGUUCGACAAAUUUAUAAUCCCCAAAUUCGCCUCUAAAGUUGGAGUUUUCACCUCCUAAUGUUUUCUUUAUAUUUUUCGCAAUCUUCAAAAGUUUCCACAGGCCACGUCUUUCACUUGUUCAAGCUCAAAUUUCCUGUGGUUACUUCUUGAGUGCUCCUAAGUAAAAGAAAAAUAUCUCAAAAAAAUAAAAUAAUUGCAGGUUUCGAACCGUGUUGUUCGCAAAUUGGAUUGAUUUGUGUCUCUUUUCCACCAAAUCGAUAGUUGCCAGAAACUUUCGGAAGAUCGGGCCACACUUAUUCUCCUCAAGUGGUAAUCAAAGCUUCAGACAUAACGUUAGGUUCACAUCUACCCUUAGUUUCGAGUGUCCUUGUGUUCGUCCCAUAAGUCUGGUGCCAUAUUGUUUUCAUGUCCUACAACCCAUCCGCGCCAUAGCCUUUGCAUAUUUCAGUUUUAGAGUCCGUAGUGUUGAGUUUGUGUCCUGGUCGAGGUCUUGUUACUGGUUAGGUCUUGUUAGAGUCCAAUUUGUGUGUUUCUUCCCACCGUUUCCAUCAAUUUAUAGCCACCGCCGCAAAUUUUCCCACUUCAGGACUGUUUUGUCCUCUAAUUCGGAGUCCGUUCGUAAAACAGCCAUAACUUUCGCAUACGUUCCAUAUAUCAAAAUCGAUCAGAAAAUUUUUUUUGGGUCUGUCUAUGCCCGCCACGGGCGGGUUCGACAAAUUAGGAUCCCCAAAUUCGCCUCUGAAGUUUGAGUUUUCAUCUCCUAAAGUUUUCUUUAUAUUUUUCGCAAUCUUCAAAACUUUCCACAGGCCACGUCUUUCACUUGUUCAAGCUCAAAUUUCCUGUGGUUACUUCUUGAGUGCUCCUAAGUAAAAGAAAAAUAUCAAAGAAAAAAUAAAAUAAUUGCAGGUUUCGAACCGUGUUGUUCGCAAACUGGAUUGAUUUGUGUCUCUUUUCCACCAAAUCGAUAGUUGCCAGA
Molecule: long non-coding RNA, 15300 nt
Filed under: Sorghum bicolor (sorghum)
Lineage: Eukaryota; Viridiplantae; Streptophyta; Magnoliopsida; Poales; Poaceae
Description: long non-coding RNA (SBIC_LNC010490)
Source: RNAcentral